CCUACGGGAGGCAGCAGUGAGGAAUAUUGGUCAAUGGUCGGGAGACUGAACCAGCUAAGCCGCGUGAGGGAUGGAGGUACAGAGUAUCGUAAACCUCUUUUGUCAGGGAACAAAGGCGGGGACGUGUCCCCGGAUGAGUGUACCUGAAGAAAAAGCAUCGGCUAACUCCGUGCCAGCAGCCGCGGUAAUACGGAGGAUGCGAGCGUUAUCCGGAUUUAUUGGGUUUAAAGGGUGCGCAGGCGGUCUGUUAAGUCAGCGGUCAAACCCCGGGGCUCAACCCCGGCCCGCCGUUGAAACUGGCAGUCUCGAGUUGGAGAGAAGUAUGCGGAAUGCGCGGUGGAGCGGUGAAAUGCAUAGAUAUCGCGAAGAACUCCGAUUGCGAAGGCAGCAUGCCGGCUCCACACUGACGCUGAGGCACGAAAGCGUGGGUAUCGAACAGGAUUAGAUACCCGUGUAGUC
This 459-nucleotide ribosomal RNA is filed under the name uncultured bacterium. RNAcentral describes it as "partial 16S ribosomal RNA". It matches the Rfam family "Bacterial small subunit ribosomal RNA", at positions 338 to 795 of the family's 1533-position model. The record is from RNAcentral.